RNAcentral lists this ribosomal RNA (182 nucleotides) under Escherichia coli. RNAcentral's name for it is "partial 16S ribosomal RNA". It matches the Rfam family "Bacterial small subunit ribosomal RNA", at positions 1 to 176 of the family's 1533-position model. The record is from RNAcentral. Lineage: Bacteria; Pseudomonadati; Pseudomonadota; Gammaproteobacteria; Enterobacterales; Enterobacteriaceae. RNAcentral also lists the same sequence under 3 other names.
AAAUUGAAGAGUUUGAUCAUGGCUCAGAUUGAACGCUGGCGGCAGGCCUAACACAUGCAAGUCGAACGGUAACAGGAAGCAGCUUGCUGUUUCGCUGACGAGUGGCGGACGGGUGAGUAAUGUCUGGGAAACUGCCUGAUGGAGGGGGAUAACUACUGGAAACGGUAGCUAAUACCGCAUAA